Molecule: ribosomal RNA, 253 nt
Filed under: uncultured bacterium
Lineage: Bacteria
Description: partial 16S ribosomal RNA
Rfam family: Bacterial small subunit ribosomal RNA
Source: RNAcentral
GACAGAGGGUGCAAACGUUGUUCGGAAUUACUGGGCGUAAAGCGUGUGUAGGCGGCUAGGUAAGCCGGAUGUGAAAGCCCUGGGCUCAACCCAGGAAGUGCACUCGAUACUGCUUAGCUCGAGUACCGGAGAGGUUGGUGGAAUUCUCGGUGUAGAGGUGAAAUUCGUAGAUAUCGAGAGGAACACCGGUGGCGAAGGCGGCCAACUGGACGAGUACUGACGCUGAGACACGAAAGCGUGGGGAGCAAACAGG